This is a long non-coding RNA of Drosophila yakuba, 674 nucleotides long. RefSeq lists it as uncharacterized. The record is from RefSeq and is a predicted model, not a curated record. NCBI's taxonomy places the organism in Eukaryota, Metazoa, Arthropoda, Insecta, Diptera, Drosophilidae. The transcript has 2 exons.
AUCAACAGUAGUCGGGCCACUGCUGUCAGGGGAAUUACAAGCGUGCCCAGAAAAAAAGCUGUAGGAAAUUGUCUCUCCACGGGCGUAAUAAUUUUCGAACUUUCUGCAAAUAGCUGUCAUUUAUUUAAUAGCGCGCAUACGCAGCGUUUUUGGUUUAAAUAAUUAAAAUGCGCGGAUGCUAAGUGAAAAUCAUUAUGAAAAACAUUUACAAACUGGCCUGCGUUGGCCAUUUAGGGUGUGUUUGUGUUGGGCAAACAAAUCAUCGGUGUGCAACAAAAACAAUUCAAAGUUUGCUGCAAACAAAUUGCGGAGCUAUCAAGAUUAUGGUGAAACAGGUGUAAAAAGGAAAUUGUUGUUUUUAACAGCCGGUUUAUAUUUCGUACAAAAUUUAUUUAUAUAUUGCGCAAUGGACAGCGUGAGCAAAUCUCUGGCUUUUUAGUUUCCCAAUUUGAAACGCCAAUUAUUACGCUUUUUCCCAUUUUCCAGAUGGAUCCGUCCCUUUUAAAGCGAGCAAAGCUGAAAAAUGUAUUAAACAUCCCCUUUCCGGAAAUCUGCAUUUUUAUAGUGACAACUGGCAGCAUUGGUGUGUAUGCUUUGAAAAAAUUAUUUCGCGCUUAAACUACGGAACAAGAAUAAAAACAUAAUCGAAAGGCUCACAGCUUUUGACAUUUGAA